UACGAAGGGGGCUAGCGUUGCUCGGAAUCACUGGGCGUAAAGAGCGCGCAGGCGGUCAGAUAAGUCGAAUGUGAAAGCCCCCGGCUCAACUGGGGAGGGUCAUUCGAUACUGUUCGACUCGAAGGCAGGAGAGGGAAGUGGAAUUCCCGGUGUAGUGGUGAAAUGCGUAGAUAUCGGGAGGAACACCAGUGGCGAAGGCGACUUCCUGGCCUGUUCUUGACGCUGAGGCACGAAGGCAGGGAGCGAAACG
RNAcentral lists this ribosomal RNA (250 nucleotides) under uncultured bacterium. Its description in RNAcentral is "partial 16S ribosomal RNA". It matches the Rfam family "Bacterial small subunit ribosomal RNA", at positions 524 to 775 of the family's 1533-position model. The record is from RNAcentral.